GGCUCUUUGUCUGAAAAAAAUAAAGAGUCAAGCCUGCUCAAUGAUUUUUACAAUUAAAUAGCCGCGGUACCCUGACCGUGCAAAGGUAGCAUAAUCACUUGCCUCUUAAUUGGUGGCUGGCAUGAAAGGUUCAAUGAGAAUAAGACUGUCUCUUUUUUAAUUUAUUGAAACUACCUAUUAGGUGAAAAGGCCUAAAUACUCAUACAAGACAAUAAGACCCUAUCGAGCUUCAGGCCAAAACUCACUACAAAUAGAAUCAAAAAGAAUCUUAGGCCUUUAGUUGGGGCGACUAAGGAACAAACAAAACUUCCUAAAAUAAAAACACCAACAAGUUAUGAUCCGAAGAAAUUCGACAAAAGAAAAAGCUACCGUAGGGAUAACAGCGUAAUUUUCUUUGUGAGCUCUUAUUAAAAAGAAAGUUUGCGACCUCGAUGUUGGAUUAAGGUAUCCUUAAGACGCAGCAGUCUCAAAGGGUUGGUUUGUUCAACCAUUAAAACCUUACAUGAUCUG
This 510-nucleotide ribosomal RNA is filed under the name Cellana stellifera. RNAcentral describes it as "partial 16S ribosomal RNA". It matches the Rfam family "Bacterial large subunit ribosomal RNA", at positions 1816 to 2607 of the family's 2925-position model. Lineage: Eukaryota; Metazoa; Mollusca; Gastropoda; Nacellidae. The record is from RNAcentral.